GAUGAACGCUGGCGGCGUGCCUAAUACAUGCAAGUCGAGCGAACAGACGAGGAGCUUGCUCCUCUGACGUUAGCGGCGGACGGGUGAGUAACACGUGGAUAACCUACCUAUAAGACUGGGAUAACUUCGGGAAACCGGAGCUAAUACCGGAUAAUAUAUUGAACCGCAUGGUUCAAUAGUGAAAGACGGUUUUGCUGUCACUUAUAGAUGGAUCCGCGCCGCAUUAGCUAGUUGGUAAGGUAACGGCUUACCAAGGCAACGAUGCGUAGCCGACCUGAGAGGGUGAUCGGCCACACUGGAACUGAGACACGGUCCAGACUCCUACGGGAGGCAGCAGAAGGGAAUCUUCCGCAAUGGGCGAAAGCCUGACGGAGCAACGCCGCGUGAGUGAUGAAGGUCUUCGGAUCGUAAAAAUCUGUUAUUAGGGAAGAACAAAUGUGUAAGUAACUAUGCACGUCUUGACGGUACCUAAUCAGAAAGCCACGGCUAACUACGUG
Molecule: ribosomal RNA, 497 nt
Filed under: uncultured bacterium
Lineage: Bacteria
Description: partial 16S ribosomal RNA
Rfam family: Bacterial small subunit ribosomal RNA
Source: RNAcentral